This 300-nucleotide ribosomal RNA is filed under the name uncultured Oleiphilaceae bacterium. RNAcentral describes it as "bacterial SSU rRNA". It matches the Rfam family "Bacterial small subunit ribosomal RNA", at positions 113 to 413 of the family's 1533-position model. The record is from RNAcentral. Lineage: Bacteria; Pseudomonadati; Pseudomonadota; Gammaproteobacteria; Oceanospirillales; Oleiphilaceae.
ACGCGUAGGGAACCUGCCCGAGUAGUGGGGGAUAGCCCGGUGAAAACCGGAUUAAUACCGCAUACGCUCUACGGAGGAAAGGGGGUCUUUGGCUCUCGCUAUUGGAUGGGGCCUGCCGUGAGAUUAGCUAGUUGGUGAGGUAAUGGCUCGACCAAGGCGACGAUCUCUAGCUGGUCUGAGAGGAUGGAUCAGCCACACUGGGACUUGAGACACGGCCCAGACUCCUACGGGAGGCAGCAGUGGGGAAUAUUGCACGAAUGGGGGAAACCCUGAUGCAGCCAUGCCGCGUGUGUGAAGAAG